This 467-nucleotide ribosomal RNA is filed under the name Nipponnemertes arenaria. RNAcentral's name for it is "partial large subunit ribosomal RNA". It matches the Rfam family "Bacterial large subunit ribosomal RNA", at positions 1817 to 2597 of the family's 2925-position model. The record is from RNAcentral. Lineage: Eukaryota; Metazoa; Nemertea; Enopla; Monostilifera; Cratenemertidae.
AGUCUUUUGAAAUUUUAUGAAAGAUAUUUUCUGCUCAGUGGUUUUAAACAGCCGCGGUAAUUUGACCGUGCGAAGGUAGCAUAAUCAUUUGCCUUGUAAUUUAAGGCUCGUAUGAAUGGGGGUACAAAGGCUUUUCUGUCUUAAUUAAAUUUUUGGAAAUUGUUUUUAUUGUGAAGAAACAAUAAUAAGGUAAAGGGACAAGAAGACCCUUUUGAGCUUUACUUUUUUUAAAAAUUUUUGUUUUUUUAAGAGUUUGAUUGGGGCGAUCAAGGAAGAAAAGAUCUUCCUUUUUAGAAUUAUUUGUGAUCCAAAAUUUUUGAUUUAAAGAAUUAGUUACCAAAGGGAUAACAGCGUAAUUUUUUUUGUGAGUUCUUAUUAAAAAAAAAGAUUGCGACCUCGAUGUUGACUUAUAAUUUCCUUUAGGUGCAGCUGCUUAAAAGGUAGGUCUGUUCGACCUUUAAAAUUUU